Molecule: ribosomal RNA, 253 nt
Filed under: uncultured bacterium
Lineage: Bacteria
Description: partial 16S ribosomal RNA
Rfam family: Bacterial small subunit ribosomal RNA
Source: RNAcentral
UACGUAGGGGGCAAGCGUUGUCCGGAUUUAUUGGGCGUAAAGAGCGUGUAGGCGGCCAAGCAGGUCAGCUGUGAAAACCCGAGGCUCAACCUCGGGCCUGCAGUCGAUACGGGCAGGCUAGAGUUCGGUAGGGGAGACUGGAAUUCCUGGUGUAGCGGUGAAAUGCGCAGAUAUCAGGAGGAACACCGGUGGCGAAGGCGGGUCUCUGGGCCGAAACUGACGCUGAGGAGCGAAAGCGUGGGGAGCAAACAGG